Molecule: transfer RNA, 65 nt
Filed under: Boros schneideri
Lineage: Eukaryota; Metazoa; Arthropoda; Insecta; Coleoptera; Boridae
Description: tRNA-Asp
Source: RNAcentral
AAAAAUUUAGUUAAAAAAUAACGUCAACUUGUCAUGUUGAAAUUAAUAAUAAAUAUUAAUUUUUU